This 268-nucleotide unclassified non-coding RNA is filed under the name air metagenome. Its description in RNAcentral is "partial contains small subunit ribosomal RNA, internal transcribed spacer 1, and 5.8S ribosomal RNA". The stretch from base 1 to 46 matches the Rfam family "Eukaryotic small subunit ribosomal RNA", at positions 1786 to 1831 of the family's 1831-position model. The record is from RNAcentral.
AAGUCGUAACAAGGUUUCCGUAGGUGAACCUGCGGAAGGAUCAUUAUCGAGUUCUGACUGGGUUGUAGCUGGCCUUAUGAGGCAUGUGCUCGCCUUGCUCAUCCACUCUACACCUGUGCACUUACUGUGGGUUUCAAAUGUGAAAGUGAGCCCUUGUGGGUUCAUUGAAGCAUUUGUGCCUGCGUUUCUUACACACUCUAAAGUCAAUGAAUGUAUUGCGAUAUAACGCAUCUAUAUACAACUUUCAGCAACGGAUCUCUUGGCUCUC